UACAGAGGGGGCAAGCGUUAUUCGGAAUUAUUGGGCGUAAAGGGCGCGUAGGCGGUGUUUUAAGUGAGAUGUGCAAUCCCCGGGCUUAACCUGGGAACUGCAUCUCAGACUGGAACGCUAGAGUACUGGAGAGGGUGGUAGAAUUCCACGUGUAGCGGUGAAAUGCGUAGAGAUGUGGAGGAAUACCAGUGGCGAAGGCGGCCACCUGGACAGUAACUGACGCUGAGGCGCGAAAGUGUGGGUAGCAAACAGG
RNAcentral lists this ribosomal RNA (253 nucleotides) under uncultured bacterium. RNAcentral's name for it is "partial 16S ribosomal RNA". It matches the Rfam family "Bacterial small subunit ribosomal RNA", at positions 524 to 776 of the family's 1533-position model. The record is from RNAcentral.